GGACUUGCUGUCUGUUUCUCAUUGCUCUUCUGCUGGAGAAACAGGGCGCUGGACGGAGCUCUAUCGCAGUGACACGGGCUGAUUGAGUGCUGUGACUGCAGGCCAUAUCUAGCAUGUCAGCGGUCACAGCAGCUCCUGUGAUUUAGUGCAGAGAAGCAUGUCAGGUAAUGGGGAUAUAAUGGAUGGCAGGGUACCAUGACGACAUCAUAUCCCAUCCUUGGACAGGUGUUUCAGUUUGUGAAUGAGAGGAAAUGGGAUCUUUACACCCAAUUUGAAGUGAAGUGAGUGUGCGUUUACAUGGAGGAUAUCCCGUGACCCUAGUGUAAUGACUUGCAGACUACAGAUGAAAAAGAACCUCACAAAUAGUUCUACUUCAGGCCAAGUGUUGACGUUCAACUGCAUAAUGUGGGUGUCAGUUUUGUUUGGAGUACAAAGAGUCAUGUUCAUACACAGUUAGGUUAUAAAAGACAUGAUUGACAAUCACAUUCUAUAAGUGU
Cyprinus carpio carpio is the source of this 497-nucleotide long non-coding RNA. Lineage: Eukaryota; Metazoa; Chordata; Actinopteri; Cypriniformes; Cyprinidae. The record is from Ensembl.